This 2074-nucleotide long non-coding RNA is filed under the name Eucalyptus grandis. RNAcentral's name for it is "long non-coding RNA (EGRA_LNC005018)". The record is from RNAcentral. Lineage: Eukaryota; Viridiplantae; Streptophyta; Magnoliopsida; Myrtales; Myrtaceae.
CAGCGCCGCUUGUCUCCGCGCGCCACCGCAACGCCGUCACGCUACCCGCACACGCCUCCGCCUCUCUCCAUCUCCGGUUCUUGCUCGAAGACCCAACGGAUCUGAGGACGCCGGAGCAGCCAGCUAGCUGCUGGACCACCGUCUCGCGCCUCCACCCUCGCCGUUCGCCGCCGAGCUGCACGUCGUUGCCUUGCCACUGCUCUGCUCGUCUCGGCCUCCCUCUCGCCUAGCUCGCCGUUCCAGCGAGCUGUUCAGCUCGUCCCAGCCGCUGUGGGCCAUCGUCGGAGCUCCUUCCGCCGCCACCUGGACCGUGGAAGCUCAGCUAGACCACCACCGGCUCUAUCCAGCUCAAACCGACGCCGGAUCUGCCCUUAACCGGCAGCGAGCAGUGAGCAGAAAAAUGGGUAUCUCAGUUUGGUUUUGGCCCGUUUUGGCCGGCUUCCCAACCCCGGAUGCUUGGCCCGCUUUGAGAAAAGUUGUUCCCCUCGGCGUCCCCGUCGUUUUGGUCCACUCAGUUCGCUAAUCCGGUGAGUUUAACUCACUAAAUCUUGAUUAGAGGGUUAAUGAUGCUUUAGGUGUGCUUAGUUUAUGUUAAGUGUUAUUAGGUGGUUAGUUUAGUUUAUUUAAGUGUAGAUUAUAUUAAAGUGCUUAAUUAACUUAAAGUGUGUUUAAUUUAAGGUUAAGUGAAUGUUUAUAUUAAUAUAAACCUUGAUGUGACUUAAAGGAAUUUAUUUUUGAUUUAUUUAAGUAUUUCGAAAUUAUUAAAUAAUUUAAUAAUAUAUAUUUAAUCGAAAUUAUUAAAAUAUUAUUAUUUAAUUAAUUUCGGAAUAAAUUUAAUUAUUUAUUAAAUUCUGAAAAUUUCAUUGGGAUCUUAUUUUCUCAGAAUUUCAUGCUGAUUGGUGCUGUGUAUUCAUAAUUUGAAAUUGAUGAUUGGAUAUUAUAAAUUGAGUGUGGAUUGUGAAAAAUAUGAAUAUUAUUAUUAAUUAAUUUUUGGAAUAAAAUUAAUUAUUUAAUAAAUUCUAAAAAUUAUUUCGAGACCUUAUUUUCCCAGAAUUUCAUGCUGAUCACUGCUGUGCAUUUAGGAAUUUGAUGAAUGGAUGUGGCAAAUUGAGUGUUGAUUGUGAUAAAUAUGGAUUUUAUUCAUAAAAACCCAAGUGUUGGGUUUUGAUGCAAAAAUUAGAUUUUCAGUAUUAUAUUAAAUAGUGGGGUUUGAAAAAUGAAUGUAUUGGUUUUUGAUUCAAAAUGAUGUGUGUCCACGUACGACUAUUUUCUCGAAUGUUUUAAUAUGAAAGAAAGAGGCUGGGACUACUAUUUUAAUCAUAGCAUUGAGUGAAAUGCAAAGUGUCCGGGAGCCAAUAUUGAAUUGUUGUGUGCUGGUUGAAAGACUCGGUCGCAGUAGUGGCUACGCCAACUGGACCUUUAUUCCUUUAGAAAUACCGUCAACAGAGUGAUGUGGCUCGGAUCGCAGUAAAGGCUAGGCCAAUUGGACCCAUACUCCUUCGGGAAUGCCGUCGACGUAAUGACGAAGCCACGCUCCAUGGGGGGAGGCGAUGCCUGGCAUUAAUGUUAGUAGAUAGCCGAACUGCGAGUAGGCUAUGCCCUUGUGUGGCAGUGAAUAUCAAUUGGAACACAUGCUAAGUGUUAUUGAUGGGUCGGAUUAUAGGAUAGAAUCUUGUGGCAUGGUAUGGGACGUGUCAUAACGAUUUGGUCUUAUAAUCCGGACUCAUGUGGUCAUUUGAAAUGAUAUUGUUGGCGUUCCAGUUGUUUAAGUUUCUAUCACUACCUGUGAUUGAGUGACUUGAACUGUGCUAACUUGCAGAAAGGAACUGAGGCGAGGUAAGUUCUCUGUGUGAUGUGGCUAUGCCACCCUUGGACGUAUUUUCUUUAUAAUAGGGGUUUAUGGGGUUGAACUUGUUAAGAUAAUGUCUCAUCCUGGUUGUGGGAUAAAAAUUUCAGGUCCCUGGUGGACGAAGCGGCCAGUUAGCUUUGGUUGGUCUUGAGGAAUUGCAGAGGUGAAGUCAUAAGGAUUGGAGAACGUGUCCGACUUGUAGGUCAUAGGACAAUUCAUUUUUAA